Molecule: ribosomal RNA, 471 nt
Filed under: uncultured Planctomycetaceae bacterium
Lineage: Bacteria; Pseudomonadati; Planctomycetota; Planctomycetia; Planctomycetales; Planctomycetaceae
Description: bacterial SSU rRNA
Rfam family: Bacterial small subunit ribosomal RNA
Source: RNAcentral
AAUGAACGUUGGCGGCGUGGAUUAGGCAUGCAAGUCGUGCGAGAAGAAAUCUUAGCUUGCUUUGAUUUCGGACAGCGGCGAAAGGGAGAGUAACGUGUGGUUACAUGCCUCGGGGACCGGGAUAGCGUUGGGAAACUGGCGGUAAUACCGGAUAACAUCUAAGGAUCAAAUGGUGUGAUUCCGCCCUGAGAUUGGACCGCAUACUAUUAGCUUGUUGGUGAGGUAACGGCUCACCAAGGCUGCGAUGGUUACCGGGUGUGAGAGCAUGGCCCGGCUCACUGGGACUGAGACACUGCCCAGACAUCUACGGAUGGCUGCAGUCGAGAAUCUUCGGCAAUGGACGAAAGUCUGACCGAGCGACGCCGCGUGCGGGAUGAAGGCCCUCGGGUUGUAAACCGCUGUCAGUUUGGAGGAAGGGUCUGUGAAGAGCAGAUCUUGACCGAUAUUCAGAGGAAGGACGGGCUAAGUUCG